Molecule: ribosomal RNA, 496 nt
Filed under: Lamprigera yunnana
Lineage: Eukaryota; Metazoa; Arthropoda; Insecta; Coleoptera; Lampyridae
Description: partial 16S ribosomal RNA
Rfam family: Bacterial large subunit ribosomal RNA (bases 377-496)
Source: RNAcentral
GUCCUUUUGAUAAUAAUUUAAGGUCUAAUCUGCUCAAUGAAUAUUAAAUUGCCGCAGUAUUUUAACUGUGCAAAGGUAGCAUAAUAAUUAGUUUUUUAAAUGAAAUCUAGAAUGAAUGAUUGGACGAGAAAUUGACUGUCUCUUUAUAAUUUUUAUUGAAUUUAACUUUUAAGUAAAAAGGCUUAAUUAAAUUUAAAAGACGAGAAGACCCUAUAGAGUUUAAUUGUUUUUGUAAAUAAAAAUUUUUGGAAUUUUUGUUUUUUCAAAAAUAAUUUGAUUGGGGUGAUUGAAAGAUUAAUUUAACUCUUUUUAUUUUGAAUCAUUGAUUUGUGAUUAAUAAUUCUAUUUUUAUAAGUAAAAUUUAAAUUACCUUAGGGAUAACAGCGUAAUUUUAUUUUAUAGUUCAUAUUGAAAUUAAAGUUUGCGACCUCGAUGUUGGAUUAAAAUUUAUUUUGGGUGUAGAAGCUUGAAGUUUAAGUCUGUUCGACUUUUAAAA